Molecule: small nucleolar RNA, 135 nt
Filed under: Castor canadensis (American beaver)
Lineage: Eukaryota; Metazoa; Chordata; Mammalia; Rodentia; Castoridae
Description: Small nucleolar RNA U109 (ENSCCNG00000020635.1)
Rfam family: Small nucleolar RNA U109
Source: Rfam by way of RNAcentral
UUGCAUGUAGAAAUGUCUUCCCCUUGUUCCUUUAGGGGCAGGAAUACAUAUAUAACAUGCCACAUUAAAAAAGGAGUUCUCAGGGCUGCCAACCUUACAGUAGAGAUUAAGUGGCAGUAUGUUUCUCAUACAUAA